Adelges cooleyi (spruce gall adelgid) is the source of this 586-nucleotide long non-coding RNA. RefSeq lists it as uncharacterized. NCBI's taxonomy places the organism in Eukaryota, Metazoa, Arthropoda, Insecta, Hemiptera, Adelgidae. The record is from RefSeq and is a predicted model, not a curated record. The transcript is spliced from 3 exons.
UGAGGUAUUUCACAGUAGAUAAACGAAAAAAUGAUUUGGAAAAUUAUACUUUUGUUGCCGUCUUAUAAUGUUUUAGUGAACGCUGGUGGAAGUUGUUCGCGUGGGACAUCGGCUGGAGACGCGGAACCAUUUCCAAGUAUUGGAGUAUGGAUAGAUUCACUAAAAGUAAUAACCAUUUCAGAUUGGAAUAAGCUCCGUUUCCUUGAGGACCAUGAUUAUCAAAUUGCAAGGGACGCAUUGGUUAAAAGUAGAUGUCCAACUAAAAUUUUGGAUGCACUUCUUGCGACCAGUCAUUGGGAUAGGUGGCCUUAUCAUUUAAAAUCAGAUCGGGCACCAUACGUUAAUCAAACGAAAAUGAGUCAAUUGACUUUUAGUCGAAUACCAGGCACACGAAUGGUAUACGUGACCCCUUAUCCAACACUUUAUGUGAAAUCACCAGGACUACUAUUUAUGUACGACAGUGCUUAACAAAUGGUGGCUUCUGAUUAAAAUCGUAGAGGCAGAAUUAAAUUUUGUAAACCUGAUUGUUCACGUACCUAUUACAUAAUGCAUAUUACGCUUGUUUAAAUCUUUUAUUUGUCUUUGC